CACGCCUAGCUCUGCCCACUGGGGCGUGGCUCAUAGCGCUCUCUGGAAUAAGCGCUUGUUUCAAAUAUGUUUAAGUUAACCUCAUUAUUCUUUGCUCGUAUCGUCGUAUUCCACCCGAUCGAGUUCUCAUCACAUCACACCAGAAACAUGGUAUGCUGUCAUUUGACUUUACAACGUUUAUUUUAGAUUCAUUACAGGGCUCCGGAGUGGCGCCUCGGUGCAAGAGGCGUCCCUACAGUCCCUGGUUCGAAUACAGGCUGUAUGACAUCCGGCCGUGAUUGGGAGUCCCAUAGGGCGGCGCACAAUUGGCCCAGCGUCGUCCGGGGUUUUACGGUCAUUGUAAAUAAGAAUUUGGUUAAAUACAAUUACUCAAAAUGACGGCGCCGAAGCAGACACGACUUUUCACAGGGAAAUAGGCUAAUGUUGGUUGAUGAUUCGGACACGCACUUUGAAAAGCGAUGAUGUCGAGGAUUGGGCAGUGCUUCCUGAAGUUCCAUGACCUUUAGGCAAACGCAAAGACUAAAAUUGUUCGGGACUUCUCUAUUUGAACCCCGGACUGCUCGGUGAACCUCACUGAACUGGAUCGGGGUCUUCAAGGACCAAAAACUUUGCUUUGCCAGCUGACGAGCAGGCCCAAGAUCUUCUCUUCAAAGUGCAGAUGCACAAGGUGACAUCGUUUUAAGACUUCUGCCAGUGGUCCUCCCACACCAGUCUACAAGAUUGGCAGGAAGACAUUCCGACCCAGCUUCUAAGAGACCAGAAAGUCCUUCAUUGACUUGCAGCCUGUAAAUUUAAAUAGUCGAUAGGGAGAUGGAUGGGGAAAUUAGAUUAUAGCGUUUGUAAGCCUUGAAUGAACAGAACACCAUUCCAAUAUCUGUUAUGCAGAACGGCACACUCCAAGACAUUGUUGUGUAAAUUAACCUAUAGAUACUGUAGGCAGGCCCCUGAGUAUGGUACAGCCCAUUGCGCAUAUGUUAAAUUGCCUACUUAUAACAUGACAACGGCUGUAUUCAUUUUUACAUUUUUAUUAAUUCUAUAAACAUUUUGUAUGUGCUUGGUUGGUCACUUUUAACAUACUUCCAUGGUGUCUUAAUUAAAUACACUUUCAUCUAAAUGUAAAAUGUUAGCAUGAACAGAUACACUGUCGCAUGGAAGGUACGUCAUGAUUAUCAGCCGAAAAGACGAUUCCAACACUUUCUUAAAUAGCUCUGCUUUUAAGAUGCUGAUAAGCUGUUACGUACCAUUUUGUUUGAACAAUAUUAGGAGAAAAAGACAACCAAAUGAAGUUUCAUCAACUGCACAUGAACCAGGUUAGAAGUACCUCAUGGUUUCUGGCAAUUACGCUGUGAUGAUUAUGAUUGAAAGCUGUGAGCUCCUGUUACUCAAUACAUGUAUGUGUGUUCAAAGCACUUCAUCACUGGUAAGUCGGUAACACUUGUUUGUAUCUCACUAGCUAUGUGUAUUGCACAAAGCUUGCUAGUUAGCUUGUAGUAAGGACUAGUGAGCUGUAUCCAAAUAACAGCUAUAAUAUUCUUCUGCAUUUGGAUAUUUAUGCAAACCUGUAGAUUCCACCAUUUCAAAUUUCGCUACAUAAGACCGGAUUAAGCCGGUAGGUCACAUAUAGGCAAAAAUCCUCUUUUCUAAUUACCUAGACCGUUCAAAGGCAGGCAAAGACUAAGUAUUUACGCGACAUAUCUAAGACUAGCGAAUUAGAUUGAGAUGAACUUCUCUCACUAGAGUUGGCAGGUCGGGGAACACAUUAGCGUGGCAGAAUAAGUAUAAUGUAAAUCACGUUGUUGUGACAGACAAGUAUGUACCUCUUAUGGCUGCAUUCCUUGUUCUCAAUUUCCACCUGAAGACAUACCCUAAUCUAACUUCCUGUAGCUCAGCCCCAGAGGCAAGGAUAUGCAUAUUCUUGGUAUCAUUUGAAUGGAAACAUUCUGAAGUUUGUGGAAAUGUUAAUUGAAUGUAGGAGAAUAUAACACAGUAGAUCUGGUGGAAGAAAAGAGAAAGAAAGAGCAUACGUUUUCUGUUUUUUAUUGUAGUAUCAUCUUUCACAUGUACUAGAAUAGCUGGAGAUAAUUUGUAGGUGUGCAAAGUUUCAGACUGAUAACUUCAGGAAUGGGUGAGCUACAUGACAUUUAGCAUGAAGUCACCCAGGUGUCCCACACAAGUUGCCCAAAUGUACCCAAGUGGCCGAAUUGGUGAAAUUACCUAUAACUAUAUACAACAGUGCAAAUAACUAUAUACAACAUAUCAAAAAGCAAUUCUAACAUACACAAAAAAAAUGUUAAAACAUUUAUUUUCUAACAUUUAAAAAAAAAAAAAACAGUACACCCUUUGGAAGUCCUCUACACAAUAUUUUGCUGCCUGUGCCAUGUCCCAUAGCAGUCUCUUUCUGAUGUAAAGCAGAGGCAAACUGAACAAGUGGUGCAGGUCAUGUGACACAGAACACAACGACACCUCCAUGCUGUGCCCUUUUGGCCCUGAGACACAGUUAUGCCUGCAGUAAUGAACUGUGGCAUAUGAACACCACUGGAGGCAGGAGUAGAGGGGGCAGAGAUAGAGCGGGCAGUUUGGCACCGGGGGCUCCCAGUCGGAGUCGCUAUCACUGUGAAAGAAAACAAGAACAAUAUUUGUAUUGUAU
Long non-coding RNA from Oncorhynchus tshawytscha (Chinook salmon), 2647 nucleotides. Lineage: Eukaryota; Metazoa; Chordata; Actinopteri; Salmoniformes; Salmonidae. The record is from Ensembl.